RNAcentral lists this ribosomal RNA (492 nucleotides) under uncultured bacterium. RNAcentral's name for it is "partial 16S ribosomal RNA". It matches the Rfam family "Bacterial small subunit ribosomal RNA", at positions 31 to 507 of the family's 1533-position model. The record is from RNAcentral.
AGGGAAAGCGGGGGGUAGGCCUAACACAUGCAAGUCGAACGGCAGCACAGUAAGAGCUUGCUCUUACGGGUGGCGAGUGGCGGACGGGUGAGGAAUACAUCGGAAUCUACUUUUUCGUGGGGGAUAACGUAGGGAAACUUACGCUAAUACCGCAUACGACCUACGGGUGAAAGCAGGGGAUCUUCGGACCUUGCGCGAUUGAAUGAGCCGAUGUCGGAUUAGCUAGUUGGCGGGGUAAAGGCCCACCAAGGCGACGAUCCGUAGCUGGUCUGAGAGGAUGAUCAGCCACACUGGAACUGAGACACGGUCCAGACUCCUACGGGAGGCAGCAGUGGGGAAUAUUGGACAAUGGGCGCAAGCCUGAUCCAGCCAUACCGCGUGGGUGAAGAAGGCCUUCGGAUCGUAAAACUCUGUUAUUAGGGAAGAACAUAUGUGUAAGUAACUGUGCACAUCUUGACGGUACCUAAUCAGAAAGCCACGGCUAACUACGUG